GCGAAAUCUCUGCAUAUGGAUCCAUACCAUCAGCACCACCAGAAGAGCAUACUCCUCUGCUGGUGUAGCUAGAAUUAAAAGAUAUUGUAUUGCCUCAACAAAAACACCAGGCUUGGAUAUGGUGAGGCCAACGGCACAGAUGGCUUGCUCCUCCACAUUAAACUCUGGACAUUGACCAUCCCGCUUGUCAAAUCGCCAAAGAAAUAAAGAAUUAUCAACAG
This 221-nucleotide unclassified non-coding RNA is filed under the name Hevea brasiliensis (rubber tree). The record is from RNAcentral. Lineage: Eukaryota; Viridiplantae; Streptophyta; Magnoliopsida; Malpighiales; Euphorbiaceae.